This 2470-nucleotide long non-coding RNA is filed under the name Lathyrus oleraceus (garden pea). RNAcentral describes it as "Pisum sativum (pea) long non-coding RNA (PSAT_LNC035510)". The record is from RNAcentral. Lineage: Eukaryota; Viridiplantae; Streptophyta; Magnoliopsida; Fabales; Fabaceae.
UUUCUCAUCCAAAAAACUUUCCUUUAAUUUCAUACAAUAUCACAUUACAAUGUCCAUACAGAGAAAUCAUACAAAAUUACAAACAAAAUGAUUUUUGACCUACAAUUAACUUUUUGGUCAACUAGUUGACCAAAGUCAACUUAUCUAAUCCCUAGUCCUAUUUGUUGAUUUUUCAUAUGGAUUCUUCAUUCUCCAUCUUCAUGGCCAAGGUUUCUUCACUUGUAAGUAACCAUGUUCUUCAAGGUUAUUCAUGGUGGUUUUGUUCCAAAUGCCUCGAGAACACGACCCAUACUCCAAGCAUAAACGAGCCUUGCACAUCACUAGGUCAGCCCUGCAUUCAAUUUAUCACAAAUUCACAUUAUAAAUAGAACUCACACAUUAAUGCAUCAAACCACAACAAUCCAAUGCAUUCACAUACCAACAUUAAUAAUGCAUACAUGGGCAAUGCCUCAUAACAUUCAUUCACUUAGCAUCCAAACUGCAUAAAUUUCACAACACAUAGAAAACUCAUCUAACAAUCAAGCAAGGCAUCCCUUAACAGUAUAACAAAUCAAACAAUAAUGCAUUUCAACUACAAUAUUCAUAACAUAAUUAAUUUCAUCUAUCAUACCUAGUUAACUUCCAUUCAUUGCAAGCAUAUAUAACAGGGCCAAGCAUGCUAUUUUAAUCAAGCUGAACAUCUAAAUCGACCUUCAUUAUGCAAACAAUUCAAUAACAAAUUCAUGCAUUCUAAGUAUUCAAAGCUAUCAUCAUUCACAUCAACAUUUCAGACCAGCUAGUAUUAAGCUCAUGGCAUACAUUCAAGCAUCACUAACUAUUACAUUCAUAAUAUGAUUUAACAAUAGUGCAUCACACUCAUUUCACAACCAUGCUAAGCAUCAUUCACAAUAGAAAUAGAACAAAACAGGAAGUUCACUAACAGGGCCAACUAUCAUGUAGUAGCAGGCCAAAAUUGAGUUAACAACAAAGCAUUCAUUUUGUAGCCAAGCAGUCAUUCAAGAAACAACAAAAAAUAUAACCAAGUUCAUUACAAAAUUUCACUAAUAAUUUAGCAUAUCAUCCACAUUCACCAACAAAUAAAACUAAUUGCAUACAUUCAGAGUUAACAUUCAAGCAUUAUUAACAACAACCUUAAAGUAAUUUCACCAACCAAUCGAUUUCAGCAUUCACUUAACAACGAUUCUAACAAUAAUACAUCUAACUGAAAUACAAUAGAUCCAACAUAAUUUCACUAACAUCAAUAACACAACUAACGGAAAUCGAAAUCCAAAGCUCAAUUAACAAAAUUUCUGUUAAAACUAACUAUAAAUGUUUUCAUUUCCACUUCUCUCAACCAUAACUAACUUUCUUCAAUCCCUAGACUGACGUAACUCUUGCCCUAACAAAGCAUAACCACCUGACCAAGUCAGUUAACAAACCACCUCUAUAAAGCCUCAUCAUCUCCAAUCAUCACCCUCUCUCGAUUAUCAUUCAUUAAAUUAACUAGAAAUCAUUCAUUCAUAUUUCUCACUCCCAAUCAUUUUCCCCACUCUCUCUCAUUGCCUCACUCUCGAAACCAUAAUCUCAAAAUCAAUCACAACCUCACUCUCCCUCAACCUCUCAGAAGGCACGAAUAUAGAACAUCACCAAAAGUCAACAUAAGAAGAGCAGGAGAAGAUGAAGAUUUGGAAUUCAAAAGCAAGAAAUAGGCUCGGUAAGAAGUCACCGAAAUUUCACCAUCGUCUUCAUCUUCUCCGACAGGGUAAGUCUUCAAUUUCAUCUUCUUGCUUCAAACCAAUUAUGGAGAUAUGAUUUGAGUUGUAGGGAAUCAAAGCCCCAACCCCUUGGGCUUUUAUUCCAUGAGGUGGUGAUUUAAUUUCAAUUUUGGUACCUAGGGUUCUUGAGACAAAUUGAUUCUGUUUAAGCUUUUGAUUACAAAUUAGGUGAAAUUGAGGAUGGUUACGAGAAAUAGACGAAGGGAAUGAUGUUUCAAUUUCAUGGAUUAGCUCUCUGCCACCGCCGAAGGUGACCUCCCCAUGGCGGAGGAUGGUGCUUCUCAGGCCAGGUGAAGUUUGAGAUAUUGUAUUUUGUUUUGAGCAUUUUGGAUUUGUUUGAAUAUGAGUUGAUGAACUCUCCUUCCCUCUCUCGCUCGUGUAUGUGGAUUCUCCUCACCCUUAUGCCCAUUUUAUUACCUUAUGCACCUGAACACUGCUUACAUACCCCCCUGAAUUCAAGGAAAAAACCACUUAGGCCUUGAUUCAAUGGGCAUGUGCCCUAACUGAUUUGACACCUAUUUCCAGUCUCAGUCCUCCCUGCCAUGUUUGGGAUUUUUAAUCUUAUUUGUUUUUUUUUCUUUUGUUAAUAUAGUUUCUUUUCUUUUAAUUGUUAGAAUGCAUUCUUUUUGACAUAAAAUACUUAGAGAUUAACAUGUUUAAUGUUUGAUCCAUUAAGUUUAAUUGAUUUCUUUUAAUCACUAUUUAAAUUACCUUGA